RNAcentral lists this ribosomal RNA (497 nucleotides) under uncultured bacterium. RNAcentral's name for it is "partial 16S ribosomal RNA". It matches the Rfam family "Bacterial small subunit ribosomal RNA", at positions 28 to 507 of the family's 1533-position model. The record is from RNAcentral.
GAUGAACGCUGGCGGCGUGCCUAAUACAUGCAAGUCGAGCGAACAGACGAGGAGCUUGCUCCUCUGACGUUAGCGGCGGACGGGUGAGUAACACGUGGAUAACCUACCUAUAAGACUGGGAUAACUUCGGGAAACCGGAGCUAAUACCGGAUAAUAUAUUGAACCGCAUGGUUCAAUAGUGAAAGACGGUUUUGCUGUCACUUAUAGAUGGAUCCGCGCCGCAUUAGCUAGUUGGUAAGGUAACGGCUUACCAAGGCGACGAUGCGUAGCCGACCUGAGAGGGGGAUCGCCCACACUGGAACUGAGACACGGUCCAGACUCCUACGGGAGGCAGCAGUAGGGAAUCUUCCGCAAUGGGCGAAAGCCUGACGGAGCAACGCCGCGUGAGUGAUGAAGGUCUUCGGAUCGUAAAACUCUGUUAUUAGGGAAGAACAAAUGUGUAAGUAACUAUGCACGUCUUGACGGUACCUAAUCAGAAAGCCACGGCUAACUACGUG